GACAAGAAAUAACAAUACGGGGCUUAAUGUCUUGUAAUUGGAAUGAUGGGAAUUUAAACCUCUUCCAGAGUAUCAAUUGGAGGGCAAGUCUGGUGCCAGCAGCCGCGGUAAUUCCAGCUCCAAUAGCGUAUAUUAAAAUUGUUGCAGUUAAAAAGCUCGUAGUUGAAUUUCUGCUGCAUUACAUUUCUCUUGUUUGAGUUUGUUAUUGUGGCUUAUUUCGGAUUGAUUUUUAUCUUUCCGGAUGAUUACUUUGAGAAAAUUAGAGUGCUCAAAGCAGGCUUUUGCCUUGAAUAGUUUAGCAUGGAAUAAUAGAGUAGGACUUUGGUUCUAUUUUGUUGGUUUUAGGUACCAAAGUAAUGGUUAAUAGGAACAGUUGGGGGCAUUCGUAUUUAACUGUCAGAGGUGAAAUUCUUAG
Molecule: ribosomal RNA, 415 nt
Filed under: Theileria orientalis
Lineage: Eukaryota; Apicomplexa; Aconoidasida; Piroplasmida; Theileriidae
Description: SSU rRNA
Rfam family: Eukaryotic small subunit ribosomal RNA
Source: RNAcentral